UUUUAUGGAGAGUUUGAUCCUGGCUCAGGAUGAACGCUGGCGGCGUGCCUAAUACAUGCAAGUCGAGCGAACGGACGAGAAGCUUGCUUCUCUGAUGUUAGCGGCGGACGGGUGAGUAACACGUGGAUAACCUACCUAUAAGACUGGGAUAACUUCGGGAAACCGUAGCUAAUACCGGAUAAUAUUUUGAACCGCAUGGUUCAAAAGUGAAAGACGGUCUUGCUGUCACUUAUAGAUGGAUCCGCGCUGCAUUAGCUAGUUG
This is a ribosomal RNA of 262 nucleotides. It matches the Rfam family "Bacterial small subunit ribosomal RNA", at positions 1 to 251 of the family's 1533-position model.